RNAcentral lists this long non-coding RNA (306 nucleotides) under Physcomitrium patens. RNAcentral's name for it is "long non-coding RNA (PPAT_LNC008738)". Lineage: Eukaryota; Viridiplantae; Streptophyta; Bryopsida; Funariales; Funariaceae. The record is from RNAcentral.
CUAAUUAUCUUAAUUUAAUAAUAAUUUGAAGUAUCUAAACAUGGCUUUUAUAAAAAACCUCUUAGAUUGUUUUCUUAUCUUAAUAGUUAGUAGGUUGAAGGUUAGUUAGUAAUUUUACCUUCUAAGCUAUCGAGAUUCUUUUAUUACUUUAGAAAGAUCAUAAAUUGAUAAAAUCAAAUUAAAAGAGAUAAAUAAUUAAUAUAAUUGAUACUAAGAUUAAGUCGAGGAUAGGAUUAGAGUAAAAAAUCCUUAAGAUAUGUUAUAUUGAUACUUAAGGAUCGACCAUUUGUGAGAUAGGAUUAAAAU